This is a long non-coding RNA of Maniola jurtina (meadow brown), 187 nucleotides long. RefSeq lists it as uncharacterized. The record is from RefSeq and is a predicted model, not a curated record. The transcript is spliced from 3 exons. Lineage: Eukaryota; Metazoa; Arthropoda; Insecta; Lepidoptera; Nymphalidae.
CAGAGGCAGCUCAACCAGUUGCCAGCGAUCAAAAUACAUAGACUGCUCGAGCAGUCAUUGUAAACAGCUUGAAGCUGCCAUUGAUAACUGCUGCUGACCGCCCGAAGCAGUCGCAACUGCUCGAGCGGUUUCAUGUAUAUAUGUAUAUGUACUUAUGCAAAUAGAAAACUGUAGUUCACUACGCAGU